CCUACGGGAGGCAGCAGUAGGGAAUAUUGCUCAAUGGGGGAAACCCUGAAGCAGCAACGCCGCGUGGAGGAUGAAGGUUUUCGGAUUGUAAACUCCUUUUGUUAGAGAAGAAAAUGACGGUAUCUAACGAAUAAGCACCGGCUAACUCCGUGCCAGCAGCCGCGGUAAUACGGAGGGUGCAAGCGUUACUCGGAAUCACUGGGCGUAAAGAGCGCGUAGGCGGGAUAGCAAGUCAGAUGUGAAAUCCUAUGGCUUAACCAUAGAACUGCAUUUGAAACUGUUAGUCUAGAGUAUGGGAGAGGUAGGUGGAAUUCGUGGUGUAGGGGUUAAAUGCGUAGAGAUCGAGAGGAAUACUCAUUGCGAAGGCGACCUGCUAGAACAUAACUGACGCUGAUGCGCGAAAGCGUGGGGAGCAAACAGGAUUAGAUACCCGAGUAGUC
RNAcentral lists this ribosomal RNA (440 nucleotides) under uncultured bacterium. RNAcentral describes it as "partial 16S ribosomal RNA". It matches the Rfam family "Bacterial small subunit ribosomal RNA", at positions 338 to 795 of the family's 1533-position model. The record is from RNAcentral.